Molecule: unclassified non-coding RNA, 343 nt
Filed under: soil metagenome
Description: partial contains 5.8S ribosomal RNA, internal transcribed spacer 2, and large subunit ribosomal RNA
Rfam family: 5.8S ribosomal RNA (bases 1-120)
Source: RNAcentral
GAUGAAGAACGUAGCGAAAUGCGAUAAGUAAUGUGAAUUGCAGAAUUCAGUGAAUCAUCGAGUUUUUGAACGCAUAUUGCGCCCUCUGGUAUUCCGGGGGGCAUGCCUGUUCGAGCGUCAUUAAAUAACCCUCAAGCAUAGCUUGGUGUUGGGCUUUUUUACGUCCUUGACUGGGAUGGGCCUAAAAAUUAGUGGCGAUGGCUUUUUUACUUUCAAGCGUAGUAAAUCUCGUCUUGCUAAAGAGGAAAAAGAUUUUUUUUCUGCCAACAAUUUUAACAUUUAAAGUUGACCUCGGAUCAGGUAGGAUUACCCGCUGAACUUAAGCAUAUCAAUAAGCGGAGGA